UUGUUCCUUAUCCUUGGGAUC
This 21-nucleotide unclassified non-coding RNA is filed under the name Chlamydomonas reinhardtii. RNAcentral describes it as "small RNA Cre_4076". Lineage: Eukaryota; Viridiplantae; Chlorophyta; Chlorophyceae; Chlamydomonadales; Chlamydomonadaceae. The record is from RNAcentral.